AACGGCGGAGGAGCACUUACGUCGUACUGGGUGAGGUCCUUGUCGGGAAUCUCGGCGAGGAAGUGGUUGGCCUUGACGACGCAGCGCGCGCCCACGGUCCCGAACCCGGGCCGGCGGCAGAAGGACAGCCCCUUGCUGGGCACGGGCGGCCCAAUGACGGCGCGCGUGGCCGCCUCCACGGGCGCCGCCGCAGGCCCUGGCGCCGGCCGCGGCCCCUCCGCGGGCCUGGCGCGCCCGCGCCCGCCGCGCCGCUUCCCGGCGCACCUCUUACCUCCCUCGAGCGGCGGCGGCUGUGGCGCCUCCGCCUUGGGCUGCGCGACGCUGCUCUGCAGCGGCUGCUUCCUCCCUCCUCCCCUGGGCUGCUGGUGGCGGCGCGGCUGCGGCGGCGGCGGCGGAGGCGGCGUCAUCUCCAGGACCUCCAGCAUGUGA
Molecule: ribosomal RNA, 429 nt
Filed under: Triticum aestivum (bread wheat)
Lineage: Eukaryota; Viridiplantae; Streptophyta; Magnoliopsida; Poales; Poaceae
Description: partial small subunit ribosomal RNA
Source: RNAcentral